This 376-nucleotide long non-coding RNA is filed under the name Capsella rubella. Its description in RNAcentral is "long non-coding RNA (CRUB_LNC004810)". Lineage: Eukaryota; Viridiplantae; Streptophyta; Magnoliopsida; Brassicales; Brassicaceae. The record is from RNAcentral.
UGGGUGAAGAAGUGAGAAUGGGAGAAGUAAGGGUAUUUUAUAGAUUGAGGAAUGAGUUGCUACGAUGGAAGCGAAAGCAAGUUGGCUCUAUAUAUUGUGGUGAUGUUAUUAGUUUGCAUUACUUUGCUUCAUGAUCUUCUUAUGGAAAUAUAUCAAAUUGGACCAAAGAAGGUCAUAAAAUUUAAUGAGAAUAUAUUCUAUUUACCUUUUGAAGAUAUUUUUUUUUUAUAUAUUUUUUUCCAUUAUAGUUUAGGAAAUCUUCUAUAUGCAGUACUCUAAAGAUUAUGAUUAUGAUUAUGAUAGUGAAAUAAAUUCGUUCAAUACACGAAUCUCUCAUCACCUUCUAUUAGUGUAUAUAUGUAUAAGAGUCUUUGUA